AUCGAAUCUUGGCCUUUUGGCUAAGAUCUAAUGUAGUACCUUUUCAUAUUGGUUUAAUAUCUGAUAUGUCCUCCAUCAUAGAAUAAUAUGUUUAAUGGAUUUCUGGAGCAGGGAGAUGGAAUAGGAGCUUGCUCUAUCCAUUUCAUGCAUUGAUGUGAUAUUACAAUAUCUCCAGCAAUGGUGCACCCCCU
RNAcentral lists this small nuclear RNA (191 nucleotides) under Marmota marmota marmota (Alpine marmot). RNAcentral describes it as "U2 spliceosomal RNA (ENSMMMG00000015637.1)". It matches the Rfam family "U2 spliceosomal RNA". From Rfam's summary of the family: U2 is a small nuclear RNA (snRNA) component of the spliceosome (involved in pre-mRNA splicing). Complementary binding between U2 snRNA (in an area lying towards the 5' end but 3' to hairpin I) and the branchpoint sequence (BPS) of the intron results the bulging out of an unpaired adenosine, on the BPS, which initiates a nucleophilic attack at the intronic 5' splice site, thus starting the first of two transesterification reactions that mediate splicing. Lineage: Eukaryota; Metazoa; Chordata; Mammalia; Rodentia; Sciuridae. RNAcentral also lists the same sequence under 1 other name. The record is from Rfam by way of RNAcentral.